CCCCAUUAUUUUAUUUUAAUUAUUUCAAUUCUCAAUCUCUCAUAUCACUUUCAUCAAUAAAAAAAUGGUAUUAAUUAUCUAUACAACAAGUUCACUUUCAAAAAAAUUUAAAAAAUACAGAUAGAUUAAUAAGGCGCAUGUCUUUUCGAAAAUCAUUAUAAAAUUAGAACCAAAAUUGUAAUUUAUGAUGGAUAUUAUUCUAUAUAAAUUAUAAAUAUGAUGGGAGGGGAUGAGAAUGACACCGACUAUGUUCAUGAAAAAUUGUUUGAAUCACGAGAUUGUAGGGUUUUUGAAUUGAUAUCGUAGUAAGGCAGUGGCUGUAUAACUUAGGAGGUGGUGGUGAUGUGAGUUAUAAGUUUCCACAUGAAAUGCAGAGCUUUUGAAUAUGACUUUCCCAGAAGUUAAGGCGAAUGUGACGAGGGCUAGUUGUGGGGCGAUGCAACUUGCGGUAUGGAUUCUGUUCGUGCUUUCACUUUCUGACUUGUUUGGGUAAAAUUGUGCACGGAUCCCAUUUGUCACGUGUACAUGAUUUUUCCCCUCAUUAAUGUGAAUUUAUAGAAGGGAGAGAUGUCAACAUAAAUGCUUGCCAUAAGGUAAAAUUUUAAGUUGAAUAUCUAGAUUUAGAUACAUAGAUAAAAAAGGUAAAAGAUGUAGUUGAUAUGGUUGAGUAUGAUGUGUUAAUAUUGUAAACUUUAGUACCCAUUUCUGAUUUUUUCAUAUAAAAAAUAGUUAAAAAGAAAAAAACUAGAAUAUCUUUUUUUUUAACAAAUAAAAUCAGUAGAACAAUUUUUAGAAAUUAUCUUCUAAAUAAUCAUUCUAUUUGACAGAGUAAUUUCUUUACUUUGAAUUCUUUUGUACCUUUAUAAAUUGUUUGUUUUUUCAAUCCCUUCUAAGGAGUGGUCAUCUGAAUUCUUUUAUACCUUGAUAAAGAAGUAAAUGAAACCUGUACCCAAAAAAUUUCUUUACUUUAUCUCGCUCAAUAUUAAAAUUCAAGUUGGGCUACUGUAUUGGCGAUGGAACAUAAGUUAUAAAUAAGCAAGCUAAUUACAUUGAAUUAGAUAGGUAGAGAAAAAAAAAAUGAAUAGUAGAUAGCUAUAUCUAGCUGGAUUCGGCUGUAUCGUGACUUUUUUGGGCUUUUCAAAGAUGUAUAGUCCCCUAGUUCCAAGCCAAGUCCAUGACAAUAUUAAAAUUAGUGCAAAGAAAGAAAAAAGACAUGCAAGUUGCAGCAUAAAGAGUAAAUGGGUUUUUAUUUAAUUGAAAUGGAAAGGGAUAUCAAAUCAAAACGAAGCAAAACCAAAGAAAAGAAAUGUCGUGCAGCAUGGGUUGGUUUGUUUGAAUAAUCACCGAUUCGUCGUCGGUUUAUGCAAGUUGGGGAGCAAGUGGGUGAUAAGUUAGCAUUUACACGAGAUAGAUGCUCUUGAUGUCAUCCCGUGCAGCGCAGGGUCUACCCACCCUUUCUUUUGUCCACUUCUGCUUAGGAAAUACUUUUUUUUUCCUUCUAAAAAAUAAAUGCUUGUAAAGUGAAUAAAUAAACAUAUUUUUAAAAUUUUAAUCCAAUAUUGUUCUGGUAACUAGUACCUUGGGGAAAAAAGACUUAGUCUAAAAACAUUCAAGUAUCAAGUGUAAUUUACUUAUCUAUUUUUUUUGGAUUCGACGGGAUAUAUAUAAUAGCAUGUUGUAACGGAUCAAUUUGAUAUUUUUGGUUGAACUUAUCUUAUUAUGGCAUAACUUAGAGGCCAAGGCUUUAGACACUUUAGGUGAGGAGUGGGUGUUUGCAUUGUAGUCCUAAACUAUCGGUCGGAUAUCGACUCCAUACAACUAAAGGACUUUGGUUCAACUGAGAUGAAAUGAUACACAGUUCAACAAUCUUGAGUGCAUAAACACAAAGACUUCAAUCAUGAAGUUUGAUCCCCUUAAUAUGACCGAGUGAUAUGGAAGAAUACUCUGUCGGACAUAUCCUUAUUGUUUGGGCUUGUACCAUAAUUCUCUAGGUAGACUUAUGCCAAUAAUCCUAGUAUGCCAUGGACACCUUGCUAAGUAGGAUUGAGAGUGUCUCUCCAUUUUACCACAUUUAUUUACACACAAAAAAGUUAAGCUCAUCAAAUUAGAAAUAUUUUCUACUUUGACUCUCGUAGUAUUUACAGUUUUGUCUAUAAAAAAUGUCUUAAUGAAUUAAUGAAGAAAAAUGUUUAUAAAUUACUUUCUACUUUGGUUCUCAAAUUCUUAAAUGAUAUAAAACUUUUUUGAUAUAUCAGAAAAAAAACCCCUCAAUUUAGACUAAGUAGUUAGCGCGUUUUGUUGAUAAUAAGAAUUCUGUUAUAAAUUACUUUCUACUUUGGUUCAUUGGAGGCCCUUUACUCAAGUUAAAUCAGUAGAUGGAUAUUUCAUAGAUAUCAUUUUAUCCCCCUAUUGAAGAUAUUUGAGCCAUUAAAUUCUGGAUCGGCGAAAUUUCUAUGUUCAGAAUUUAUGUAUACUUAAACUUUUUCCUUAGUGGAAUAAAAACGAAAACGAUGGAUGAUCGAUGUUGAUAUAUGAGAGAAAAAAAGUGGUAUCUUUGAUUUGUGUACAAUAUAUUUUUAGUAAGUUCUAUGGCAUUAUUCAAUUGAAUUGGCUUUCUUCGAUCUUCAUUUUUCAGGUAACCUUUCUGCUCCUAUUCUAUCUCUCUCUAGUCUCUACAUUAAUUUGAUUUCUGAGGUGCAUUAAUUGUGGCUAAUGGCUCCAUUAUUAUUGUUAAAUUAUUCUGAAAUUGGAAAUUGACCACACAAUAUCAAUAUGGCUGCAGCCUGUGUGUUUCUUCCAUUCUUUUGGGUUACUGACUAUCUGUCACUGUAGCAAUUGCAUGCCUAGUGCCAAGUACAAUAUCAAAUAUUUAUUUAUUUUUAGGUUUUUAAAUAAUUUAACCAUAUGAUAUUAAUAUUAAAUUGAUCAGAUUCGUUGAUGGAACGAUGGUUAUCUCAAAUUGUGUUUCUUAAAGGACGACAGGGG
RNAcentral lists this long non-coding RNA (2985 nucleotides) under Glycine max (soybean). RNAcentral's name for it is "long non-coding RNA (GMAX_LNC001502)". Lineage: Eukaryota; Viridiplantae; Streptophyta; Magnoliopsida; Fabales; Fabaceae. The record is from RNAcentral.